UAAAGGUAGCUUUAUGAUGGAUCAAGAAAUGAACUAUGGUGUGCAUGAGGAUGUUGACAAUGAUGGGUUUGGGUUGAUGGGGAAGGAUGAAGGGGACUUGCAGCUUUUUGUUUUGCAGCAGGUGCAGGAGUUGAGAACUGAAAUUGGGUUGUUGGAAGGGAGAUUAAGAAAAAUCCCAAGUGAAUUUUUGGGUUUGGUGUCGCAGGAGUUGUUUCAUGUUGUUAAUAAAGUUAGGAGUAUAGGGGAAGACAGUUCAAAGACAAUUGGGCUGCUUUCACACAAGCCUCAUGCAGAUGAUGUGCUAGUUGGUGAUAACGAUUUGCCACACUGGAGUGAUCAUCAUCACGAAAGGAUAUAUGGGAAUGGCAAGGAAACAGAGUUGAUUGAUGAUGAUGAAGAUAGUUUUGGACAGACUCUUGGGGAUGUCGUUCCUUGGGACCAAAUGAG
This 447-nucleotide unclassified non-coding RNA is filed under the name Hevea brasiliensis (rubber tree). Lineage: Eukaryota; Viridiplantae; Streptophyta; Magnoliopsida; Malpighiales; Euphorbiaceae. The record is from RNAcentral.